AUUCUUUGCUACAAACUUGGGCCUGAAAGGCAGGUGGGGUAAAGGAACAGCACUAGUCUUAGAACCAGCCUUUUACUGGCUAUGACACCUUGAGCUAGUCCCUUGGCUUGUCUGAGCCUCAGUUUGUCCUUCUGGAAGGUAAGGAUUAUGAUGAAAUUAUCCUCAAAGUAGGGGUGGCAGGCAAACACUAGCAGGCCCUGGAUAAAUGCAUGUGAAUGGCUCUCCAGAUUGCUGGAUUCCAGUUCUGCCUGGCUGUGUUUUUUUUUGUUUUGUUUUGUUUUUUGAGACAGAGUCACGCUCUGUCACCCAGGCUGGAGUGCAGUGGUGCAAUCUCGGCUCACUACAAGCUCUGCCUCCCAGGUUCACGCGAUUCUCCUGCCCAAGCCUCCUGAGUAGCUGGGAUUACAGGCAUGCACCAACACGCCUGGCUAAUUCUGUAUUUUUAGUAGAGGCGGGGGUUUCUCCAUGUUGGUCAGGCUGGUCUCGAAUUCCUGACCUCAGGUGAUCCGCCCGCCUCAGCACUCCCAAAGUACUGGGAUUACAGCUGUGAGGCACCGCACCCAGCCAAAAAUUUCCAGUUGCUUUCUUUUCUUUUUGAGAUAGAGUUUCACUCUUGUUGCCCAGACUGGAGUGCAAUGGCACGAUCUCGACUCACUGCAACCUCUGCCUCCUGGGUUCAAGCAAUUCUCCUGUCUCAGCCUCCCAAGUAGCUGGAAUUACAGGCGUGUGCUACCAUGCCCAGCAAUUUUUUUUUUUUUUUUUUCAGUAGAGAUGGAGUUUCACCAGGCCAGGCUGAUCUCGAACUCCUGACCUCAGGUGAUCCACCCGCCUCAGCCUCCCAAAGUGAUAGGAUUAUGAUUACAGGCGUGAGCCACUGCGCCCUGCCUGGGCUGUGGUCUUUAACUGGCUGAGAGCCUUCAGAUGAGAACACUCUGAGCCUCAGUCUCCUUCAAUGGAGGCACUGGACAGCAGGAAGUCAGAGAAGACUUUCAGUGCUAACUGCUCAGUUUUUAUCAAAGCAACUGUGAAUUGUAGAAAGGGGAAAAUUAGCUCUGAAGUAUUUAAGAGGAAAAUGGGGAAUUUUCUUGGAAUUGAUUGAACAUGUUUUAAGACAUCACAAGGAUGCCUCCAAACCUGCUUGACUAUGAACAAUGACUUGUUCUCCUCCAAGGACUAGAUAUGGAGUCUUAUGCUGACCAGGCUGGUCUUGAACUCCUGACCUCCAGUGAUCCUCCAUCUCAGCCUCCCAAAGCCCUGGAAUUACAGGUAUGAGCCACCAUGCCCAGCAGUAGUAAAGAUGAAAUGAGAGGUGAAAAUAACGAGACUAAACACAUAAUGAAAGCCAGAAUACACUGUCAGUCACAAAGAAUAGACACAACUGUGAAUGAAGUCUGACUGAGCCACUUCCUCAAUGUGUGCCCUGGCUGUUCUGAGUCUCAGUUUCCACAAUUUAUACAUUGGAGAAAAUAACUCCUUCCUCACUAGGCUUGUGAGAGGAUCCCAGGAGGUCAUUUACCUGAUAUGUGCCUGAUGCCUGACAGGUGCUCACUAAAUGCUAACUGCUAUUGUAGUUACCUUGUUACUUUCUCCAAAUAGGACACAUUCAGGGAGAAAUGUAAGGGAACCAUAUACAGGGAAAUGGUUAGGCAUUUCUUCCAUGCCUACUUUUCCAAUGAGGAAACUAAAACUCAGAGGUCAGGUGAGCUGCCUUGGGUCAUACAGCAAGCAAGAGUCUGACUGAGCCCACCACUGAAGGCCCCCUGACUAUGGGGCCAAAUGAGGUUCUCUUUUCCCUGAACCACAUGGAGGUGGCUUGUCUGUGGUGUUACAAGUGGUUCAGACUGGCUAGUGUAACACAGAGAUUCUGAGAACCUUGUGGGAAGGGCCCUGUAAUGAGUUAUCGGAGGACUUUGGUGCUUUAGGGACAGAGAGGUUGCUUGUGGCAUAGUCUUGGAUGUACAGAUUAGGUACAGCAUCUUGGGAAGAAGAGAUAGGGAAAGAUGCAAGGAAGGAAAUGAAAUGCAUAUUUAUUAUGCACCUACCAUAAGCUGGAUGUUUCCCAAUAUGCUAUCUUUUUUAAUCCCCACAAAACUCAGAGGACCUCUAAGAUACAAUAUACUCAUUUUACAGGCAAGGUUAUUGAAGAUCACACAGGCUGAAGAAGGGCUGCUGAAUUCUUCAAUAUGAACCAUCCCUUUGAUAAGAAACUGAGUGGGCCUGGUUCUUCUCAUCCCAGGAGAGCUCUGGUGUGCUUCCUGGCAUAUAAGUGAGUGGGAAAGGCUCUGCCAGUCCCCAGUCCCCCACCCCUCUUGCCACUCAGCCUCAAUCUGUCAACCAGGCCAGCUAGCCCGUCUAUUAAUGCUGACAUUGAUUUGGAUCAAUCAAGAUCCCAUAAUUACUGGGAGUUUUAAUCAACUCAUGCCAAUUCAGCUGCCGCUCAAUUUGUGCUGGACUUCGGUGCUCACAAGGAGGGAAGCGGCGAGGGUGGGGUGGGGCGGGGGGAGGGCAUGCAAAAAGGAUUACAGGGAUCAAUAGUCCUUGGUAAUGAAGGACAGCAGCUGCAGGCACCACCAGGGGGCCUGAGACUUCAGAGUGGAGGAGACAGAGCCUGCCCCCAUCCCCCAGGAGAGCUCCCUGGCAGAGAAUGAAAACCACGCCCCUGCUUCACCUCUGCCUACACCUGGAUCUGGAAACCACUUAGGCACUACCAGGCAGCACCUGUUCUCUGCAGGGUCCAACCCUCAGUAUCUCUCUCCACAUUUUGCCCUCAGCCAGGCCUGGCCUCCUCUUCCUGAAGAAUCUUAUGUAUCCUUCAGAGCCAGCAAUCCCAUUACUGGGUAUACAUCCAAAAGAAAAUAAAUCGUUCUACCAAAAAGACACACGCAACCGUGUGUUCAUUGUUGCCCUAUUCACAAUAGCAAAGACAUGGACUCAACCUGUGCCCAUCAACUGGUGGAUUGGAUUUAAAAAAAUGUGGUGUGUAUACACUUGAAAUACUAUGCAGCCAUAAAAAAAUCAUGUCCUUUGCAGCAAUAUGGAUGCAGCUGGAGGCCAUUAUCCUAAGCUAAUUAACACAGGAAGAGAAAACUAAAUACCGCAUGUUCUCACUUAUAAGUGGGAGCUAGGACGGGCGUGGUGGCUCAUGCCUGUAAUCCCAGUGCUUUGGGAGGCCAAGGUGGAUAGAUCACCUCAGGUCAGGAGUUUGAGAUCAGCCUGGCCAACAUGGUGAAACCCCAUCUCUACUAAAAAUACAACAAAUUAGCCAGGGGUGGUGGCGGGCACCUGUAAUCUCAGGUACUCGGGAGGGUGAUGGGGGAGAAUUGCUUGAACUCGGGAGGCAGAUGUUGCAGUGAGCCAAGAUCGUACCAUUGCAUUCCAGCCUGGGCAACAUGAGCAAAACUCUGUCUCAAAAAAAAAAAAAAAAAGUGGGAGCUAUAUAUUGGGUACUUAUGGACAUUAAAAUGGCAAUAAUAGACACUGGGGACUACCAGAUGGGGGAAGGAGGCAGGGAGGUGAAAGGGAAGAAACAGGUGCAAGGAUUAAAAAACUACUUAUUGGGCACUACGCUUAGUACCUGAGUGAUGGGAUCAAUUGUACUGCAAACCUCAGAAUCACACAAUAUAUCCAGGUAACAAACCUGCACAUGUACCCUCUGAAGCUAAAAUAAAUGUUGAAAUUAUUUUUUAAUCAAAUUUUAAAAAACUCUGUAAAUUAUUUCUCAGCAGUCUCUGUGGUUAUGUUCCUGAGUUCAAAAAGCAGAAGAAUGCUGAGGAGACAAAAAAAUAAAAAUAAGAUUAAUCCAGAUACUGUCAUUUCCUAGCUGUGUGACUUCAGGCAAGUCACUGCACUUUUCUGGUCCUGUUUUUCCUGUUCUAAAAUAGACUCAAUAAUAAAUAACCGCCUCCUGGGAUUGCUGGGAACAUUGAGUGCUGUCACGAAUGAAAAAUCCUUGUGUGGAAGUUCCUUCUUCCUUUUGAUGUCCCACAUCAGAAAGAAUCAGUUUUCUUUUUCUCCCAUGUUCAUUAUUCUUCUCCUAGCACAAGCUUUAUUCUGCCAGGUGGGACGGUUUCUGGGUCACAGUCUGUUUCCCUACGAGUCCACAGCUAUUUGGGGACAGGGACUGUAAUACACACAGCUUCCUUUUCUCAGUCCAGCACGUGGGAGGGAGACAAGCCAGUAUGCAAGGCAAAUGUGGCCUUUGGGGUCAAGCAAGCUUGGGCUUGAAUCCCACCUGUCUUUGCCACUUACUAACCAUGUAAUGUUAGCCAGUCACUUCGUUAACAUUUGAACCUCAACUUCCUCAAAGUAAAAUGAGCCUAAUUACACCUACUCAGAAUUGCUACGGAGGAAAAAAAAAAAAACAAAAAGUUAGACAUUUAAUGUCCCUAACAUAGUAUCUAGCACAAUGGUAAGAUCCUGAUUGUUAUAAAAGUUGCUAUUAUGAUUAUUAUCACUCUUAAUAUUCAGUGCUCAGUAAAUAUUUUUGGAAUGUAAUAAAAUGUCUGGUUGUAUUGCUUAGUUUUGGCUUGAGUUCCAAUGAAAUACCAACAGGCCAUUAUCCCCACAUGCCAGCCAUCUGUGCAGCCUUCAACACACACUUACUGAAGACACCAGAAAGGAAAUUCAAAUGCUUUCAGGACACACUGUGGGCCAGGCACUAUAGGAAGUGUUUUCCUUAUACUGCUUUGCUGAAGGCCCACACUUCUAUGAGAUUGCUGUUAUUGCUGUUAUUAGCUUGAUGUCUGCAGAAGAGAAAACUGAGGCUUUGUGGCUGGAUAUGUCUUUCCUUGUAGUUCUAGCAGAACCAGGGUGCAAACAUGGGGGCGUUUGACUCCAGGCCCCUGCUCUCUCCACUGUACCAUACCAUUCUUUCUUUUUUUUGAGACGGAGUCUCACUGUGUUGCCCAGGCUGGAGUGUGGUGGUGCGAUCUCGGCUCAAUGCAAGCUCCACCUCCCGGGUUCACGCCAUUCUCCCGCCUCAGCCUCCCGAGUAGCUGGGACUACAGGCGCCUGCCACCAUGCCUGGCUAAUUUUGUUUCUCUUAUUUUUAGUAGAGACGGGGUUUCACCGUGUUAACCAGGAUGGUCUCGGUCUCCUGACCUCGUGAUCCGCCCGCCUCGGCCUCCCAAACGUACCAUUCCUUUCUUGUGGAGGCACCAAGAAGUAGAAAAUGUGAGAGUUCCCGACUUCAGGAAGAAUCUAGACCAAUGGUAGAGAUCAGCCUCAUGGAGAGAGGUGCUGACGCCAUUUGGAAGAAUAAUAUCCUGAGGUGCAGAGAUGUAAGAGAACUUCCCAAGAUCAUACAGUGAUUAGAUGUGGGGCGGGACAGAGGCUCCACUCAGGUCUGCACUGCUACAAAGCUGUACCCUCUGGGCUGAUGGCAUGGCUCAGUGAAGGAGCUCUCUCUGUUCCCAAGGCAGAGGCUCUAACUGUCUUCACCUGGGUUCAAGGCGCUGGGAGGAAAAUGAACAUCUGUUGUGUACCCCCCAUACACCAGACACACUGCUAGGCUAUGCUAAUUUAUGAAAUCUUCCCAACAACCCAGAAAAGAAUGCACCAUUAUUUUCACCACUCACAGAUGGAAAACAGGCUUGGAGAGGGAAGAUGACUUGCUUCAGGUCCUCACCAUAGAUGCUUGGAUGUCUUUCUGUUUUCAGAAGCCUCAUGUCCUAUUACUUCUCUGAGUAGCACAGAGCCGAGGGAAUUUUGCUACAGAUCAAGUGCAGGGAGGUAUUUGGGGAAAAUAGCUUAUUGUGACAUUGCCUGAGCACUUGACUAUGAAACCAGGUCUCCUCCUAAGAGCAUUGAAUGUGCAUUAACUCAUUCCCUCCUCAAAGCAAACCUAUGUGGCAAACACCAAACACCAAUAUCAUGCCCACUUAACAGAUGGAGAAUCUGAAGCGCAGCACGAAGAGGUGUAUUAACUUGAUGAAGGUCACACGGCCAAGAGCAAUUUAAAAGAAGAAAAAAAAUCCUUCUCUGAAUGGAGACAGAUGCCAUAUAUGUUGGACCCUCAGGGGAUUGAAAAGGAUGAGGUUCCCAAGUCCAGUGUUCUGGGGACGGACGUGGGUGGAAGGAAACUCACAAGUGAUGGGAAUCCAGGAUCAACUGCAACACCCACAGCAAGGCCAGCAAGGCACUAACCACCCAGUCCAGGGCAGGGCCCUUCAAGGUUUUAUUCCCAAGGCCUCCCCAGUAGCCUGUCUGACUGUUCUCUACAUGCUAUUUACUGAGUACUAAAUAUUGAGUGAUGGGUGAAGUGCACAUCAUCCCCCUUAACUUUCCCCACAACUCCAUGUUGAGAUGCUGUUGUACAUAUGAGAACACAGAUACUACAUUGCCCAAUGUCAUCAACUAGAACAGCAGGAAUCUGUGUGCUGGGAAGCCAGACCCCAGAACCAGUGCUCUCAAAUCCCCACCAAUGUCAUCUAGUGGUUACUGGAGUCCUUAUUUUGGAGUCCUGAUAUCCAUGCUACCAAUUCCUAUCUGAGUGACAAUGAACAUGUCACUUCCCUUUCUGAGUUGGCUUCCACACUCACAGGAUGGAGACUGAGAUACCAUUUUGCUAGGGUGUUAUCAAGAUUCAGAGAUCCAAAGUUACACUUAAAAGUCAUUUGAGACAUUUGUUCUUUUUUUCUACCCCACCCCCUGCCUAAAAGGUUCUCCUCUUACCCAGGAUGAACUCAAGAUGUAACAUUUUAAAAUGAGCCUUAGGAAAAAACCUGCAAGGGUUGGUACCAGCUGGAGAAAAAUAAAUACGCUCAUGUGGGUGCCAAAGAUUCAAAAGAGAGAAGCAGCAGCCCAAACCAGAGUCUACACCAGAGGGAAUCAUUAUGGAAGGAGAAAGUUCAUCCUAUCAUUGUGCAGAAAGGAAGGAUCCAUGUGUGACUCUAGGGAGUAGGAUCCAAAGCAUCAUUUUCUAGCUCUGUAAAUAGACUAUGGACUCUUUGCUAGUUAGGACACAGUAUCUUUCUAAUGUUAGGGCCCAGAAGAGGGUCUUACACAGCAGUACUUAGUUGUUGAGCUCUGAAUGCAGCUAAAAUUCAACUGUGGGUUGUCUAAUAACCAGUUUUUGCUUCAACCAAAGGCAAGUUUGAUCUAGUUUGAUAAGAUGUGCUAGAUGCUGGAGAAUCCAUUACCAACAGUCAAGAAUCACAUAAAAGAGCUGCUCUAUGCAUACCUAAGUGGGAAAACUGUAAAAAAAACAUGAUUAGCAUAAAAGACAGGGUCUUGGCCACUUCCAGAAGGGAGGACAGGGUUACAAUUGGAAAUGGAGGCAUGGUGGGUGUGUUGGGGGAGGGCUUAUGGAAUGCAGGCAAUAUUCUAUUUCUUGACAUGGGUGAUGGUUUAGGUGAGAAUUGCUUAAUUCGUAUCAAAACUGUAAAUAAUGUUUUACAUAUUUUUCUAUAUAUUAUAUUGCACAGUAAAAUUGCUAAACAUCUAUCUAUCUAUCUAUCUAUCUAUCUAUCUAUCUAUCUAUCUAGUUAUCUAUCUAUCUUAUAGUAAAUCUACUAAAAGGACAUGUCAAAAUGUUAGUAGUAGCUAUUUGGAGGUGACAUGACUAUGGGUGAUAUUGUUCUUUAUUUUUUCUCUAUAUGUCCUAAAUAUUCUUGUAUGUGCAUAUAAUAAUUUCAUAAUUAAAAAAAAACACGUUUUAGUUGAAUUGCUUCAUUACCUAAAUAAGGCAACAACAAAAACGUGAAGGUCAGUUCCACCACUUCUGCCUGAAAUUCCUCCAAUGGAGAACCUCAUCUUCUCCCUAAGGUUCAAUGUGCAUGAAAGAACAGCUCUGCAGAGUAAGUUGAGGGGUGCCAAAUCCCACUGGCUCUUAUAUAGGCCUAUCUGCAGUGUCUUCCCCCUCUGGAACCAAGUACAUCUUUGACUUAGGUACUGUGGCGGGAAAGGGAGAUGCCCCAGAGAGAAUCAAGUUUAACUCUGAAUUUGUAGGAAGGACAGGAGCAUAGCUGAGGAUUCACAGUAAACAGAGUCAUGUUGAGAAACAGGGUCCCUUCAUCACCUCGGACUGUAUUAUCCCCAUGAUCAUGGGCCUGAAAAAUCACCUUUCCCUUUCAGUGAUGAUGAAGAAAAUUUCUGAAAACCAAGGAAAGCCAGAAAAGGCUACUAAGUUUCCUAGCUCAACAAGCUCCUCUCUACACAAUAGGACCUGAUCUUAGGAAGGGAGGCCAUGGCCCUGGGUUUUGCUCAUGCCUGGCUACUUUCACUGGGUCCGGCCAACAAUAUUGUAAGGUGCAGGGAUCAUUCCCAUUUUAUGGAUCAGAUUAGAGGGGCUCAGAUACAUUCAGCAAUUUGUCCAAAGUCACACAGCUUCCCAGUUACAGGGAUGGGAUUUGAAUCCAACUCUGAAUUAUGGACAAGUCUAUUCUUUUUACUGGACUGGAAUUCUGAUUAACUAGCCCAUCUCUCUCUAGGAACGUCUGUCACUCAGUUCGGGUAGAAUUUUCUCAAUGAGGAGAAAGGCUAUUGAGUGUUUGAUGAAACCUUCUCACUGUUUGCUCCCUCAAGGGAAAGGGAUUUCAAAAUACCUGGGCUAGUGGGUCAAGACUUCUUAAAGCAGGGAUCAGAGAGAAGCUGGAGAAUACAGGCAAAAGGAUACCUUUAUUAUUUGUAAAAUUUAAUAACAAUAAUAAUAAUGUCAUUUGUCAUCCAUUUAUCCUCAAGACCUAUGAUAAAAGACAAAAGAAUGAUGAUAAAAAUAAAAGCAUGUUAUCCUGGGUGGAAGAGAGUCCUACACUGGAAUUUCAGACACCUGGGUUCUAUCCAAGCAUAGCUCUUGUGCUCUUUAGCCUCAAUUUGAUCAUCUUUAUUUAUUACCCAAGGGGAAAAUACACACACACACACACACACACACACACACACACACACACGGUUAAGAUCAAGCUAGGAAGUCAGUUGUCCUAAAAAGAAAAAAAAAUUGGAAAAGCUCUAGGAAAAGCAGAAUGUGUAGUUCUGACUUAGAAAAUUGUCCCGAAGAAACACAACUGUAUGCUUUUUAUGCUUCCAUUUUUAAAAUUACAUAUAUAAAUUCUUAUUUAUAUUUGCAUAUGCAUAGGGAAGAAGUGUAUGGAAGGAUAUGUAUCUAUCUAUAUAUACACCAAACCGUGG
Molecule: long non-coding RNA, 9123 nt
Filed under: Homo sapiens (human)
Lineage: Eukaryota; Metazoa; Chordata; Mammalia; Primates; Hominidae
Description: non-protein coding lnc-TRIM32-5:3
Source: RNAcentral